UACGGAGGGUGCAAGCGUUAUCCGGAUUCACUGGGUUUAAAGGGUGCGUAGGCGGGUAAGUAAGUCCGCGGUGAAAUCUCUGAGCUUAACUCAGAAACUGCCGUGGAUACUAUUUGCCUUGAAUAUUGUGGAGGUGAGCGGAAUAUGUCAUGUAGCGGUGAAAUGCUUAGAUAUGACAUAGAACACCAAUUGCGAAGGCAGCUCACUACACAAUCAUUGACGCUGAGGCACGAAAGCGUGGGGAUCAAACAGG
Molecule: ribosomal RNA, 253 nt
Filed under: uncultured bacterium
Lineage: Bacteria
Description: partial 16S ribosomal RNA
Rfam family: Bacterial small subunit ribosomal RNA
Source: RNAcentral